Molecule: transfer RNA, 67 nt
Filed under: Pannonibacter indicus
Lineage: Bacteria; Pseudomonadati; Pseudomonadota; Alphaproteobacteria; Hyphomicrobiales; Stappiaceae
Also listed under: 1 other name
Rfam family: tRNA
About the family: Transfer RNA (tRNA) molecules are approximately 80 nucleotides in length. Their secondary structure includes four short double-helical elements and three loops (D, anti-codon, and T loops).
Source: RNAcentral
GGAUUAGCUCAGUUGGUAGAGCAGCGCACUUGUAAUGCGAAGGUCGUCAGUUCGAAUCCGACAUCCG